AGCUUGUCAUAUACUGAUGCUUUGUCACUAUUUUACAUGUCUCAUCUAGACGUACAAGGUACCCUUCAGCAUCUGUGGCUGAUGAGCAAAGCCCUGCACCCUUUGCAUCUUAUCCACUAUGGACAUGCCAAAAGUGCAGAACAUAAAUGCUGUGUGUUGACUUACCACGGGCUGUCCUUGGUCACCCCAUUCAAAAAACUAUUUUCUGGUUGUCAGCUGGCUGCAAUGAGAGACAGAGAUGGACAUGGACACACAGUUACUGUGGGGAAGAGUACAGCAGAGUGAAGAGCGACAACUUCACUGCCUUGACAUUCCCUCGGGGCUCUGUUGAAAAAUAAGUGCUGAUGUUGGCUUGUUGCUGAUCCUAGUAGUCCAUGGUGGAGUAAGAGAAGAGAAGAAGAGGGAGGGGCAGAGAAGAGGUCUUUAUACUGUCUCCACAUUUCUCUCCUUUUCUUUCUUAAACGGCUAACGGUCUGGUCUCCUGUGGGCUAUAGGUGCAGAGAUCAGCUUUUUAAUAUCUGUAAAGUUCUGACUAUUAAAAUUGAUUAAAGUUAUCGCUGUGAUCUAUCAUUGAUAGAGGGGGGACAUUAUAUGGGCCUGCUCUCAUUAGCAAGUUAAGGGGAUUCAGAACGACAGGCAGGGAAAGAGAGAAGGAUUGGGGAGGAAGGAGAAUGAGAAGCACAGGGUUAGAAAGAAAGCAGGAGAGACACAGUUAGUGGUCACAUGAACAGACAGGGUAAGAGACAGUGCUGUGUGAUACUGCUGCAAGAGAGAUUAUUUUUGC
This is a long non-coding RNA of Scatophagus argus, 784 nucleotides long. RefSeq lists it as uncharacterized. The transcript has 4 exons. The record is from RefSeq and is a predicted model, not a curated record. NCBI's taxonomy places the organism in Eukaryota, Metazoa, Chordata, Actinopteri, Scatophagidae.